UACGGAGGGUCCAAGCGUUAUCCGGAAUCAUUGGGUUUAAAGGGUCCGCAGGCGGGCAAUUAAGUCAGGGGUGAAAUGGUACGGCUCAACCGUAGCACUGCCUUUGAUACUGGUUGUCUUGAGUUGUGGUGAAGUGGCCGGAAUAUGUAGUGUAGCGGUGAAAUGCAUAGAUAUUACAUAGAACACCGAUUGCGAAGGCAGGUCACUAACCACUAACUGACGCUGAUGGACGAAAGCGUGGGGAGCGAACGGG
RNAcentral lists this ribosomal RNA (253 nucleotides) under uncultured bacterium. Its description in RNAcentral is "partial 16S ribosomal RNA". It matches the Rfam family "Bacterial small subunit ribosomal RNA", at positions 524 to 776 of the family's 1533-position model. The record is from RNAcentral.